Molecule: ribosomal RNA, 379 nt
Filed under: uncultured eukaryote
Lineage: Eukaryota
Description: partial 18S ribosomal RNA
Rfam family: Eukaryotic small subunit ribosomal RNA
Source: RNAcentral
CAAUAGCGUAUAUUUAAGUUGUUGCAGUUAAAAAGCUCGUAGUUGGAUUUCGGAUGGGAUUUGCCGGUCCGUCGUUACGAUGGGCACUGGCCAGUCCUAUCUUGUUGUCGGGGACUAGCUCCUUGGAUUCACUUCCUGGGACUAGGAGCUGACGAGGUUACUUUGAGUAAAUUAGAGUGUUCAAAGCAAGCCUACGCUCUGAAUACAUUAGCAUGGAAUAACACGAUAGGACUCUGGCUUAUCUUGUUGGUCUGUGAGACCAGAGUAAUGAUUAAGAGGGACAGUCGGGGACAUUCGUAUUUCAUUGUCAGAGGUGAAAUUCUUGGAUUUAUGAAAGACGAACUUCUGCGAAAGCAUUUGUCAAGGAUGUUUUCAUUAA